CUAUACUGUAUUUUUAUCGGGGUUUUUUCACUCCAUACUUGCUCCCAAAUGCUGAUACUGUGUGGGAAUGCAUAAAGGAGUCCGAGGUGUCUGUGCCGGCAGUUCAUCACCACCUUCGUUGGGCACAUUGGGUAUGGCGGGAGACCCGGGCUGCACUCUUCAGGACAGCCAAGCGGAACCGCCAGCUUGCUGACCGCUACCGGGUGCCAGCGCCGGACUAUCAGCCUGGUCAGGAAGCAUGUCUCCACCAGCCGGCUGUGUCCGCCAGUCGAGCCUCCGCCUCCGCCGCGCAUGAUCAAUGGUCAGCCAGCAUACACGGUGAAGGCUAUUCUCGGCCGAGAAGAAGGGGUAGGGGGCUGCAGUACUUGGUGGACUGGGAGGGAUAUGGACCUGAUGAGCGUUCCUGGGUCGCCCGCUCCUGUAUCCUGGACCCAUCCCUCAUCACAAACUUCCACUCUCUCCAUCCCAGUGUAUGCUGCCUUGCUGAGGCGGAGCUGGCGAUACCCGCACCUGCAAGCAAUCACCUGAUCUGCUCUUAAGCCAUGGGAAGCCAACACUCUGGCACCAGAUUGUUCUCAGCCCUUCUCCUGCAACCUGCGACAAACCUGCUUCCAGCAUUGUGCUUUUGUCUUGCUGUUUCCUACAAUGAUGUAGUGAGUAGUUUUGUUUAGCAUUCUGCCCAGUUGUUUCCUAGCAUGUACCGCCAGUUUUCCUGCCUGGUUCUCGGCAGCGUUUUCUGUUCCUUUUUUAGCUUAGCUUAGCUCCUCUUUUAACUUUUUAGUUAUUUUUGUUGUUGUACCUUUUUGCUUGUUAUCCUCUGUUCUGGACUCUCUUAUAUUUUUGUAUUUUUGCACUUGGAUUAUUGUUACCUCUAGAAGGACACCUUUUGUUAUUAAAGACUCUUUUUGUUUUUUGACCGUUUGUGUGUGAUUUCCACUCUGCAUUUCGGGGUUCAAACUGCCAACCACGCCAGUGCGUGACAUUAUAGUGAAUGAAAUGUGUUUUCAGUGGAAAAAACUCCCUAUUUUUGAAGAAUGUUUUUCUUUUUUUUUUUUACCAAAUAUCUGUGACUUUGCUGGGCCCUGAAUCCACUGUAAUCUCAUUGUUUGGCAUACUUAGAAUGGGUCCUAAAUGUAGACCUGCCCUGUUUUUGAGUGUAUUCCAGCCAUCUAGUGUCAGCGUGAUUAAUGCUCCAUCUUUCUCGUGUGGCACAAGGAAACUAAUGGCUUCGUCUGGACCCCAUGAAGUGAGGGCAUAGACAUAGAGAGUGUCAGGAAACAGAUUUAUUGCAAAUGCAGGGGUGCAAUCAAUGCCACGGCAGGGGCAUGUCAUGCAUUGCUUGCUGAAGCGUCGCCCUUGAUCUGCUCAUGCUGUUUGUGUGCCGCAGUCAGCAGUUUUGUUGUGGUGGCGGUGCAUACUCAAUUGAACUGAUCUCUGACGAUCCUUCAGGCUGAAGCUGGAUGUGCUCAGCAUUGAUAUUUCAUAAUAAUGCUGAUUUUGGUGACUUAAACAUCACCUUACUGUAUGCUGACUUCUAUGUCACAUAUACAGCGGUGG
This is a long non-coding RNA of Dunckerocampus dactyliophorus (ringed pipefish), 1557 nucleotides long. RefSeq lists it as uncharacterized. The record is from RefSeq and is a predicted model, not a curated record. NCBI's taxonomy places the organism in Eukaryota, Metazoa, Chordata, Actinopteri, Syngnathiformes, Syngnathidae. The transcript is spliced from 3 exons.